Molecule: unclassified non-coding RNA, 214 nt
Filed under: Hevea brasiliensis (rubber tree)
Lineage: Eukaryota; Viridiplantae; Streptophyta; Magnoliopsida; Malpighiales; Euphorbiaceae
Source: RNAcentral
GAACAAUGGGAGAAUUGGCUAUUGCUGGUCAUGCUAGGGCGCUGCUAGAAUGGCACAAUGUGUCCAAAUUUUGUGGACACUGUGGAGGAAAAACAGUACCUGUGGAAGCAGGAAAACGGAAGCAAUGUUCUAAUCCCUUGUGCAAGAAGAAGGUUUAUCCACGUGUCGAUCCGGUAGUCAUUAUGCUAGUCAUUGAUAGAGAAAAUGAUCGUGC